CAGCAAACCAAGGGGUUGUGCUGUCUCCUUGUCUCCCAGGGAUAAACCCACAUGACAGUUUACAAAAACAGGUAAUCAUAAGAAGCAAAUGGCCCAGAUGAAACACAGCAAAAGAAUGAGAAGUGGUAACACUGGGAGUGAAAUUUGAACCAAGCGUAAAUGGAGUGAUCGUAGAAAUAGCUGACUGUGGAAUGUGGACACUCUCUGUAUCUGCAGCCUGGGAAGCUUAAAGAAGGUGAACUUACUGACACCAGUUAGAAAGUGACUGUGAUGAAACGAUGAAGAUGCUCCAGAGGAAGUGACACCAGCAAUAGGAAAAAAAAAACAAACCUCUCACUGAAGGAACUCUCGGAGAUAUUUCAUGACACAGAAGGCACAAAGGAUACAAUAUUGGCAACUAAUCGAAACUUAGAAAUGAUAUGACAGCUCACCAAGGCAUAGAAAAAGAUGCUUGCUCUAUCAUAAGUUAUAGAAUGAGAAGAAGUCAUAGAUAGCAGCUAGGACGGCAGUCCUCUGGAGGCUGUGCUGCAUGGAGACAUCCAAGAUGACUUCUCUCACAUGUCUAGCAACUUGAUGCUUCUCCACAUGGCCUGUCUCCUCAUCCUUAGGGGUAUCUCAUCCUCCAGGGUUUCUACACAUGACCACUUUCUACAGCGUGGUAGCUGGAUGCAUACAUUAUGGUCCGCUUUCAUGAGUGCAAAAAAGGAAGGUGCCAGGACUUUUAAAGGCUUAAAUCCAAAAUGCUACAGCAUCACUGUCACUGCAUUUUAUUGAUUAAAGUCCACCUGCAAUAUGGGAGGAGACUACACAGAGGAAUAAGUACCAACAAGCGUGGUUCACUGGGAUCAUUUUUGUAUAACUAUCACAUCACUUUGUUUUGGUUUCCAAAGCUGUUGUGUUUUGGGACGUUUUUUGAAAUUACUUCAAAAAGAUUUAGAGGAGAAAAAAAUGAACUCAGUUUUAAUUCACCAUCUUAAAGUGGGAAUCCAGUAUUUGUUUUGAAAAUGGCUGUAGAAAUUAUUUUUUGGUAUUUGUGUUAUUCUCUUUUUACUAUGUGCAUUGUGUAAUACAACAUAUACAAUAAUCUCAUUUUCUAAUCCUGUCAACAUCACUUAAUUGAAAAAAUAUGGUUUUCUUUGAAAAUAAAAUCUCUCAGAAUAAGAAUAUAUUCAAUUCUUUAAUUCAAUAAACAUUUAAAA
This 1199-nucleotide long non-coding RNA is filed under the name Homo sapiens (human). Its description in RNAcentral is "HSALNT0153630". Lineage: Eukaryota; Metazoa; Chordata; Mammalia; Primates; Hominidae. The record is from RNAcentral.